AUUGAACGCUGGCGGAAUGCUUUACACAUGCGAGUCGAACGGUAGAGGGGGCAACCCCUCGAGAGUGGCGAACGGGUGAGUAAUAUAUCGGAACGUGCCCAGUCGUGGGGGAUAACGUAGCGAAAGUUACGCUAAUACCGCAUACGAUCUAAGGAUGAAAGCGGGGGAUCGCAAGACCUCGCGCGAUUGGAGCGGCCGAUAUCAGAUUCGGUAGUUGGUGGGGUAAAGGCUCAACAAGCCAACGAUCUGUAGCUGGUCUGAGAGGACGACCAGCCACACUGGAACUGAGACACGGUCCAGACUCCUACGGGAGGCAGCAGUGGGGAAUUUUGGACAAUGGACGCAAGUCUGAUCCAGCCAUUCCGCGUGCAGGAUGAAGGCCCUCGGGUUGUAAACUGCUUUUGUACGGAACGAAAAGGUCUCUCUUAAUACGGGGGGCUCAUGACGGUACCGUAAGAAUAAGCACCGGCUAACUACGUGCCAGCCGCCGCCGUAA
RNAcentral lists this ribosomal RNA (496 nucleotides) under uncultured bacterium. Its description in RNAcentral is "partial 16S ribosomal RNA". It matches the Rfam family "Bacterial small subunit ribosomal RNA", at positions 30 to 523 of the family's 1533-position model. The record is from RNAcentral.